GGGUUGUGAGGUUAAGCGACUAAGCGUACACGGUGGAUGCCCUGGCAGUCAGAGGCGAUGAAGGACGUGCUAAUCUGCGAUAAGCGUCGGUAAGGUGAUAUGAACCGUUAUAACCGGCGAUUUCCGAAUGGGGAAACCCAGUGUGUUUCGACACACUAUCAUUAACUGAAUCCAUAGGUUAAUGAGGCGAACCGGGGGAACUGAAACAUCUAAGUACCCCGAGGAAAAGAAAUCAACCGAGAUUCCCCCAGUAGCGGCGAGCGAACGGGGAGCAGCCCAGAGCCUGAAUCAGUAUGUGUGUUAGUGGAAGCGUCUGGAAAGGCGCGCGAUACAGGGUGACAGCCCCGUACACAAAAAUGCACAUAUUGUGAGCUCGAUGAGUAGGGCGGGACACGUGGUAUCCUGUCUGAAUAUGGGGGGACCAUCCUCCAAGGCUAAAUACUCCUGACUGACCGAUAGUGAACCAGUACCGUGAGGGAAAGGCGAAAAGAACCCCGGCGAGGGGAGUGAAAAAGAACCUGAAACCGUGUACGUACAAGCAGUGGGAGCACGCUUAGGCGUGUGACUGCGUACCUUUUGUAUAAUGGGUCAGCGACUUAUAUUCUGUAGCAAGGUUAACCGAAUAGGGGAGCCGAAGGGAAACCGAGUCUUAACUGGGCGUUAAGUUGCAGGGUAUAGACCCGAAACCCGGUGAUCUAGCCAUGGGCAGGUUGAAGGUUGGGUAACACUAACUGGAGGACCGAACCGACUAAUGUUGAAAAAUUAGCGGAUGACUUGUGGCUGGGGGUGAAAGGCCAAUCAAACCGGGAGAUAGCUGGUUCUCCCCGAAAGCUAUUUAGGUAGCGCCUCGUGAAUUCAUCUCCGGGGGUAGAGCACUGUUUCGGCAAGGGGGUCAUCCCGACUUACCAACCCGAUGCAAACUGCGAAUACCGGAGAAUGUUAUCACGGGAGACACACGGCGGGUGCUAACGUCCGUCGUGAAGAGGGAAACAACCCAGACCGCCAGCUAAGGUCCCAAAGUCAUGGUUAAGUGGGAAACGAUGUGGGAAGGCCCAGACAGCCAGGAUGUUGGCUUAGAAGCAGCCAUCAUUUAAAGAAAGCGUAAUAGCUCACUGGUCGAGUCGGCCUGCGCGGAAGAUGUAACGGGGCUAAACCAUGCACCGAAGCUGCGGCAGCGACACUAUGUGUUGUUGGGUAGGGGAGCGUUCUGUAAGCCUGUGAAGGUGUGCUGUGAGGCAUGCUGGAGGUAUCAGAAGUGCGAAUGCUGACAUAAGUAACGAUAAAGCGGGUGAAAAGCCCGCUCGCCGGAAGACCAAGGGUUCCUGUCCAACGUUAAUCGGGGCAGGGUGAGUCGACCCCCUAAGGCGAGGCCGAAAGGCGUAGUCGAUGGGAAACAGGUUAAUAUUCCUGUACUUGGUGUUACUGCGAAGGGGGGACGGAGAAGGCUAUGUUGGCCGGGCGACGGUUGUCCCGGUUUAAGCGUGUAGGCUGGUUUUCCAGGCAAAUCCGGAAAAUCAAGGCUGAGGCGUGAUGACGAGGCACUACGGUGCUGAAGCAACAAAUGCCCUGCUUCCAGGAAAAGCCUCUAAGCAUCAGGUAACAUCAAAUCGUACCCCAAACCGACACAGGUGGUCAGGUAGAGAAUACCAAGGCGCUUGAGAGAACUCGGGUGAAGGAACUAGGCAAAAUGGUGCCGUAACUUCGGGAGAAGGCACGCUGAUAUGUAGGUGAAGUCCCUCGCGGAUGGAGCUGAAAUCAGUCGAAGAUACCAGCUGGCUGCAACUGUUUAUUAAAAACACAGCACUGUGCAAACACGAAAGUGGACGUAUACGGUGUGACGCCUGCCCGGUGCCGGAAGGUUAAUUGAUGGGGUUAGCCGCAAGGCGAAGCUCUUGAUCGAAGCCCCGGUAAACGGCGGCCGUAACUAUAACGGUCCUAAGGUAGCGAAAUUCCUUGUCGGGUAAGUUCCGACCUGCACGAAUGGCGUAAUGAUGGCCAGGCUGUCUCCACCCGAGACUCAGUGAAAUUGAACUCGCUGUGAAGAUGCAGUGUACCCGCGGCAAGACGGAAAGACCCCGUGAACCUUUACUAUAGCUUGACACUGAACAUUGAGCCUUGAUGUGUAGGAUAGGUGGGAGGCUUUGAAGUGUGGACGCCAGUCUGCAUGGAGCCGACCUUGAAAUACCACCCUUUAAUGUUUGAUGUUCUAACGUUGACCCGUAAUCCGGGUUGCGGACAGUGUCUGGUGGGUAGUUUGACUGGGGCGGUCUCCUCCUAAAGAGUAACGGAGGAGCACGAAGGUUGGCUAAUCCUGGUCGGACAUCAGGAGGUUAGUGCAAUGGCAUAAGCCAGCUUGACUGCGAGCGUGACGGCGCGAGCAGGUGCGAAAGCAGGUCAUAGUGAUCCGGUGGUUCUGAAUGGAAGGGCCAUCGCUCAACGGAUAAAAGGUACUCCGGGGAUAACAGGCUGAUACCGCCCAAGAGUUCAUAUCGACGGCGGUGUUUGGCACCUCGAUGUCGGCUCAUCACAUCCUGGGGCUGAAGUAGGUCCCAAGGGUAUGGCUGUUCGCCAUUUAAAGUGGUACGCGAGCUGGGUUUAGAACGUCGUGAGACAGUUCGGUCCCUAUCUGCCGUGGGCGCUGGAGAACUGAGGGGGGCUGCUCCUAGUACGAGAGGACCGGAGUGGACGCAUCACUGGUGUUCGGGUUGUCAUGCCAAUGGCACUGCCCGGUAGCUAAAUGCGGAAGAGAUAAGUGCUGAAAGCAUCUAAGCACGAAACUUGCCCCGAGAUGAGUUCUCCCUGACCCUUUAAGGGUCCUGAAGGAACGUUGAAGACGACGACGUUGAUAGGCCGGGUGUGUAAGCGCAGCGAUGCGUUGAGCUAACCGGUACUAAUGAACCGUGAGGCUUAACCUUACAACGCCGAAGGUGUUU
This 2933-nucleotide ribosomal RNA is filed under the name Escherichia coli. RNAcentral's name for it is "23S ribosomal RNA". It matches the Rfam family "Bacterial large subunit ribosomal RNA". Lineage: Bacteria; Pseudomonadati; Pseudomonadota; Gammaproteobacteria; Enterobacterales; Enterobacteriaceae. The record is from RNAcentral.